Molecule: transfer RNA, 63 nt
Filed under: Colpocephalum eucarenum
Lineage: Eukaryota; Metazoa; Arthropoda; Insecta; Psocodea; Menoponidae
Description: tRNA-Ser
Source: RNAcentral
GAUUAGAUAGUUAAGUUAAUAUUUACUUUGAAAGUAAAAGAUGAGGUAUUUUCUCUCUAAUCU